Molecule: long non-coding RNA, 491 nt
Filed under: Pan troglodytes (chimpanzee)
Lineage: Eukaryota; Metazoa; Chordata; Mammalia; Primates; Hominidae
Description: long non-coding RNA NONPTRT002921
Source: RNAcentral
UUCUUCUACAGGUCCUGUCACUGCAACAUCCUUUCAGACUACCACUACCUAUCCAACCCCAUCACACCCUCAGACCACACUUCCCACUCACGUUCCACCUUUCUCCACCUCCUUGGUGACUCCAAGUACUCACACAGUCAUCACCCCUACCCACGCACAGAUGGCCACUUCUGCCUCCAUCCACUCAAUGCCAACAGGCACCAUUCCUCCACCGACAACGCUCAAGGCCACAGGGUCCACCCACACAGCCCCACCAAUGACAGUGACCACCAGUGGGACCAGCCAAACCCACAGCUCAUUCAGCACAGCUACAGCCUCUUCUUCCUUCAUAUCCUCCUCAUCUUGGCUGCCUCAGAACUCUAGCUCAAGGCCACCAUCAUCACCUAUCACCACACAACUCCCCCACUUGAGUUCUGCAACCACUCCUGUUUCCACAACUAAUCAGCUGUCCUCCUCAUUUUCUCCCAGUCCUUCUGCCCCCUCUUCUGUUU